Molecule: ribosomal RNA, 783 nt
Filed under: uncultured Gammaproteobacteria bacterium
Lineage: Bacteria; Pseudomonadati; Pseudomonadota; Gammaproteobacteria
Description: bacterial SSU rRNA
Rfam family: Bacterial small subunit ribosomal RNA
Source: RNAcentral
AUUGAACGCUGGCGGUAGGCUUAACACAUGCAAGUCGUGCGAGAAAGUAUCUUCGGAUAUGAGUAGAGCGGCGGACGGGUGAGUAACGCGUAGGAAUCUACCUAGUAGAAGGGGAUAGCCCGGGGAAACUCGGAUUAAUACCGUAUACCUCCUUCGGGAGAAAGAAGGCCUCUCUUUGAAGCUUUCGCUAUUAGAUGAGCCUGCGUAAGAUUAGCUUGUUGGUGAGGUAAAGGCUCACCAAGGCUACGAUCUUUAGCUGGUCUGAGAGGACGAUCAGCCACAUUGGGACUGAGACACGGCCCAGACUCCUACGGGAGGCAGCAGUGGGGAAUAUUGGACAAUGGGCGCAAGCCUGAUCCAGCCAUACCGCGUGUGUGAAGAAGGCCUUCGGGUUGUAAAGCACUUUAAGCAGGGAGAAAAAGUUAUAGGUUAAUACCCUAUGACCUUGAUGUUACCUGCAGAAUAAGCACCGGCUAAUUCCGUGCCAGCAGCCGCGGUAAUACGGAAGGUGCAAGCGUUAAUCGGAAUUACUGGGCGUAAAGCGCGCGUAGGUGGUUUGUUAAGUUGGAUGUGAAAGCCCUGGGCUCAACCUAGGAACUGCAUCCAAAACUAACUCACUAGAGUACGAUAGAGGGAGGUAGAAUUCAUAGUGUAGCGGUGGAAUGCGUAGAUAUUAUGAAGAAUACCAGUGGCGAAGGCAGCCUCCUGGAUCUGUACUGACACUAAGGUGCGAAAGCGUGGGUAGCGAACAGGAUUAGAUACCCUGGUAGUCCACGCCGUAAA